Long non-coding RNA from Chelonia mydas (Green sea turtle), 1439 nucleotides. RefSeq lists it as uncharacterized. The transcript is spliced from 3 exons. The record is from RefSeq and is a predicted model, not a curated record. Lineage: Eukaryota; Metazoa; Chordata; Testudines; Cheloniidae.
CUAGAGCACUGGGAUGAACUAUAAAUUCAGCCUGCAAAUCUCAAGACUUUUCAUCUAGAAUGCAAAUCUAUAGACAGUCAGACAGCAGAAAAUUUUGUAUUUUAAAAAUCAACCGUGGUGCUUAACGGACAACCAAAGUCUGAGAAUAUCAUUAUGUUUUAAUAGUAGAAGAGCUUGGGAAGGAGGCUGAAUAUUCCAACUUCUUUUCUACAGCAUACUGGUUAAUUUGAAGUUGGCCUGCAAAGGGGAGAAAAAUAGGAAUUGCCUGUGUUAACCAGUGGGGAUGCUGGUCCAUAGACAAGUUGCAUAACAUGGAUUUUAUAAGUACUUCCCUAAGGGAAUCCAGAGCAUCACCUGCUGGCAUCCUCCACCGUCACAUUAUACUAAUAGGGUAAGACAGUUCACUUCAUAUAGGCACCUGUUCUAUUUUUAAAGGCACUCCAUCAGCCAAUUUAGGCCCAAGGUAACUCCCACAUCUUUAGUUACUUCAGAUAAGACCGAGCAGCAUCUACAGACAAGCUUGUUUAAUACCUAUUUAGGGUCUGGCUAAAAUAGUCAGCAUUUUAAUAAGUAUUAUUUACGUAGCUAAAUAUACAUUUUUGGCUGAAUCCGUUAUGUGAAUUUGUGUAUGUUUAAUCUGACUUUGAGAACUGUUAUGGUCUGUUGAUUAAUGGUGUGUUCUGAAAUGCUCAAACUACUCUGAGUCCUCCUGAUCCUAUAAAUACUUGCCAUGUGGAAUAGAGCUUCCUAAGUUAAGUAGUUGCCUUUUUUGCUACUGUGAGGCAACAAGCACCACACCCAGUAUGAAGUGUUUUGUAAAUGCAUAUUUACCUGGUGGAUUCCAAUGGCCACUUCUGUUGAGUAACCAUUUACACAUUUUUAAAAGGAGCAUUUUAAUGACCGAUGCCCUAAUUUAGCAAGGUACAAACACAUUCCGAACUUUAAGCAUAUGAAUGGUACUUAAAGUUGAAAAUGGGCUUAAGUAGUUUGCUGAAUCAGAACCUGAAACAGUGUUGCUUUGGAAGUUGGCAGUCUGUUAAAUUUACCCUACCUCCAGUACUCUUCUGCUACUGUUGUGGGGUAAGAGGGACUCCAACCUAACAAGCCACGUGUUUUGGAGGGAACAUGGAAUCUACCAUCUACUAACAAGCUCUGGGAAAGCAUAUGAUAGAUGACCGUAAGUACAUUUCCAUAAACACUGAAGUGUAUUUGCUCUGCGUCUUGCUCUGUGCACAACUUUAUUUUUAAUAUUUACACUUCCUUAUUACCAGAAUUGUAGGAUCAUUAAAACAAUGUAUUCAAAUCUCAAUACCAGACACCUCAGUGUGAUCAUAAAUGUAAAUGAUUUUUGUGUAAAAUAUAUAUCAAUGGAUAUCUUGUAGAUCAGUCUGAGACGGGGGCUGGAACAAUUUGUACAGUGCGGGUGCUGAGAGCCAUUG